Thalassophryne amazonica is the source of this 129-nucleotide long non-coding RNA. RefSeq lists it as uncharacterized. The transcript has 3 exons. The record is from RefSeq and is a predicted model, not a curated record. Lineage: Eukaryota; Metazoa; Chordata; Actinopteri; Batrachoidiformes; Batrachoididae.
AAACAGUUUUAAAUAUAAAUAUGCUGUUUUUGAAACCAGAUAACACCUCUGAAGUGAUUUACAAGGCAUCUUACGAAUGUUAGCAUGCACGCCCCAGGAAUGCACAUCAUGUAAGGUCAAAUGUUAUUU